Molecule: long non-coding RNA, 1250 nt
Organism: Etheostoma spectabile (orangethroat darter)
Lineage: Eukaryota; Metazoa; Chordata; Actinopteri; Perciformes; Percidae
Exons: 3
Source: RefSeq, a predicted model, not a curated record
UCGGAAGCACCACAGACAGGGCUCUGUUGUUGGCUGUAAAGAUGAGUACAAAACACUCCAUCGUGUCCCAGCCGCAGAGGUUUUAAAAACUGCAUGGAUUAAAUUCAUUUUUGAAGGCAUUGUCCCUGCUAAGGUUGGCAAAAAGCUGUUGGUGUGUGUGUUAACACUUCCAGACUGACUGUUUCUCCAACUUUGGUCAGUAGGCCUACAAUGCAGGAUUAGCUAGGAAACCUUUCCUUAAAGAGGGUGCCCUUCCAAAUUUGCGUGGAAUACAUGUUGAUGAGGGACAUGCCAGUGCAUCAUUAGAGUUACCAGCCUUAAAAGAUAUCGGCUGCCAGACUGAGACCCCUCUAAGACAGAGUGUUGGCACACAACUUCACAUUACAAAAGGGAAGUUGUCCAGGCUACGGUGUCCUGCAAGGACUUUGGCACGUCCACCGAUCCAUUCAUAGCCCAACUCCCUUUUCUAAGCUCAAAACAGGUUUAAAAUAAAUAUUAUAAUAAAUAUUUAUACCAUAAAUAUUUUUUUAAGUAGCAGCCUAUACCAGAUGAUUGUAAUGUAUGUAGCGUAUAGCUUACAAUAUUAGAAGUGGUGAAUAUGAACAUUUAAAGGAAAGGAUAGUUUUAAGGCCUACACAACACACAGUGCAGUAGCCUGGCUUAUAGCCUACACUUUUGAACAAUGUAUGAUAAUAACUUGACAGAAUAUUUAGCCUAAUAUGUUUCUUGUGAAUAUUGGACAAUUGAUGAUUAGGCUAUUAAAGAGAUAACAUGUGUUGCGUAAUUGAAAAUUGAAUUUGCAUUACAAUAAAGAGUCUAGGAACAUUAUAGGCUAAAUAGGCCUAAGCAUGAACAGGUUUAAUUCGUAUCACAAAGAUCACAUAUGUAAUGCUCUGCACUAUCUGCACAGGCCUCAUGGGACCAGUGGAGGCAGAACAGGCACUGCACCCACACUUCCCCAGGCAUGGAGGAACUAAAGGACUCGCCACAAACCACACCCCUUCUCCUCCUGGGAACCGGCGUUUGCGGUGGCAGGGGCGACUGCAGCAUAGGCGGAGGUGGCAGGGAUGGAUGCUUUUUUGGACCACGGCACUUCUUCCUAGCCGGAGCAACUUCGGCUGGGGUGGAGGCAAGGGCAACUGCAGCAGGGGCAGCGGCCACAGGGAUAAGGGAAAAGUUGCUUCUUUGCUCUUUUAGACUUCUUCAUAAGACGCUGCUCCUGUUCCUUCUCCAAAACCUCCUUGACUGAG